AAUAGAUACCCCGGUAGUCCACGCCGUAAACGAUGAAUGCCAGUCGUCGGGUUGCAUGCAAUUCGGUGACACACCUAACGGAUUAAGCAUUCCGCCUGGGGAGUACGGUCGCAAGAUUAAAACUCAAAGGAAUUGACGGGGGCCCGCACAAGCGGCGGAGCAUGUGGUUUAAUUCGAAGCAACGCGCAGAACCUUACCAACCUUUGACAUCCCUGGACAUCCCGAGAGAUCGGGCUUUCACUUCGGUGACCAGGAGACAGGUGCUGCAUGGCUGUCGUCAGCUCGUAUCGUGAGAUGUUCGGUUAAGUCCGGCAACGAGCGCAACCCACGUCCCUAGUUGCCAGCAUUCAGUUGGGCACUCUAUGGAAACUGCCGAUGAUAAGUCGGAGGAAGGUGUGGAUGACGUCAAGUCCUCAUGGCCCUUACAGGUUGGGCUACACACGUGCUACAAUGGUGGUGACAGUGGGUUAAUCCCCAAAAGCCAUCUCAGUUCGGAUUGUCCUCUGCAACUCGAGGGC
Molecule: ribosomal RNA, 518 nt
Filed under: uncultured bacterium
Lineage: Bacteria
Description: bacterial SSU rRNA
Rfam family: Bacterial small subunit ribosomal RNA
Source: RNAcentral